UGAGGAAUAUUGGACAAUGGGUGAGAGCCUGAUCCAGCCAUCCCGCGUGAAGGACGACGGCCCUAUGGGUUGUAAACUUCUUUUGUAUAGGGAUAAACCUUUCCACGUGUGGAAAGCUGAAGGUACUAUACGAAUAAGCACCGGCUAACUCCGUGCCAGCAGCCGCGGUAAUACGGAGGGUGCAAGCGUUAUCCGGAUUUAUUGGGUUUAAAGGGUCCGUAGGCGGAUCUGUAAGUCAGUGGUGAAAUCUCAUAGCUUAACUAUGAAACUGCCAUUGAUACUGCAGGUCUUGAGUAAAGUAGAAGUGGCUGGAAUAAGUAGUGUAGCGGUGAAAUGCAUAGAUAUUACUUAGAACACCAAUUGCGAAGGCAGGUCACUAUGUUUUAACUGACGCUGAUGGACGAAAGCGUGGGGAGCGAAUAGG
Molecule: ribosomal RNA, 424 nt
Filed under: Acidobacteriota bacterium
Lineage: Bacteria; Pseudomonadati; Acidobacteriota
Description: Acidobacteria bacterium partial 16S ribosomal RNA
Rfam family: Bacterial small subunit ribosomal RNA
Source: RNAcentral